AAAACUUUUACAAGCAUCUAGGAAACGCUUGAUCAUCUAUUCUGUCGUAAAGUAGGCUUUUGAUAAAGUUCAGAUUGACUACAAUGGUGCAGGAUAUUACCUUUAUCCUUUUCAGUUUAGUUCCUUAUGUUGGAGUAAUGUGUCUAAAUUGUAAUACCAAGUAAUCUGCGAUGUUUUUGUACCGUCAAUUUUAAUAGAAUUUCAUGGUAGUUUUGUGCAGAUGAUGCCUGCCAUUUCUAAAUUGUUGAAGACUUUCUUGCAAUGGUCAGUGCACCACUAAACUGUAUGUGACUCAGACUAACAGUUGCGAUGUUCACAGAGCCUUUUCAAUUUAAUUACAAGUGACAUUUAUAUUUUUUCCCUUCAGCCAGCUUGCUACAAGAAUAUCAUCUGGAAAUUGGAUGUUAAUGAAAAAUAAGGACAUCACUACUGGUUCAGUAGACUGUGGAAUAGACAUGUUGAUGGUAUUUGAAUAUUAACUUGUAGGAGAGCAGGCUGGCUGUGUGGCUGCAGUGGGGCAGCUGACUUGAGAACAAGGGGCUUGGGUUUAUGAAGCUGCAAAGAUCAGCAGGGCCUACAGGAGGACCCAACAUGAAAAAAUGUUGGAGUUCAUGAUAAAGGGCCAUGGAGCAGAUGAUCACUUGCUGGUAACUUAGUUCAGAUAACAAGUAAGACUUUGUUAUUGUAAUCUUUAGCAAAGAGUUAUGAUGACUUUAUAGCACCAAACUCAUGUAUUUGCUUGUCCAACAGGCUGUUGUAUCUGAAAA
Long non-coding RNA from Erpetoichthys calabaricus (reedfish), 767 nucleotides. RefSeq lists it as uncharacterized. Lineage: Eukaryota; Metazoa; Chordata; Cladistia; Polypteriformes; Polypteridae. The transcript is spliced from 3 exons. The record is from RefSeq and is a predicted model, not a curated record.